Molecule: long non-coding RNA, 199 nt
Filed under: Apteryx rowi (Okarito brown kiwi)
Lineage: Eukaryota; Metazoa; Chordata; Aves; Apterygiformes; Apterygidae
Description: lncRNA (ENSARWG00000004091.1)
Source: RNAcentral
UGUAUAUGCUGUAGUGCCACACGGAAGGAACCACCCUAAUGGUGGUAUAAGGUUCAUCUUGGAGAUCCUCCCGGGGCUUGCUCGAGCUGACAACCACYUGUUCACAGGAAUGAUGAGGCUCUCCAUCUUCAGAUGUGAAAGCUUUCUCUUUUCCUGGAUGCCAGGUCAAAGGCUCUGUCUCCUCCUUCUUUGUUGCCUG